GCCCGGCUGGCUCAGUUGGUGGAACAUGAGACUCUUGAUCUCAGGGUUGUGAGUUUGAGCCCCACGUUGGGAG
RNAcentral lists this transfer RNA (73 nucleotides) under Mustela putorius furo (domestic ferret). It matches the Rfam family "tRNA". Rfam says of the family: Transfer RNA (tRNA) molecules are approximately 80 nucleotides in length. Lineage: Eukaryota; Metazoa; Chordata; Mammalia; Carnivora; Mustelidae. The record is from Rfam by way of RNAcentral.